CAUUGACGACUUCUCUGGGACUCCUACUUUCCUUUCGUCCUCGGCGAGGGCCGCUCUGUCACCGUCAAGAACCGCCAACGCCGCCUCUUCACCAACAAUGCCAAUGAAAGUUGGAACCCCUACCAGGGCAAAAGCGUCUGGAGCCACGUCCACUUCGAGCACCCCGCCACCGUUGACACACUCGCCAUGAUCUCUGAUGAGAAUGAGGCCGUCAUCAACGACCUCAUGGCAUUCCAGGAGAGCAAGGAAUACUACGCCAAGAUCGGCAAGGCAUGGAAGCGUGGGUACCUCCUUUACGGACCGCCCGACACCGGCAAGUCCACCAUGAUCGCCGCCAUGGCCAACUUCCUCGACGACGGCGUCUAUGAGCUUGAGCUCACGACGGUCAAGAACAACAGCGAGUUGCGGAAGCUCUUCAUCGAGACCACAGGCAAGUCCAUCAUCGUCAUAGAGGACAUUGACCGCUUGGUCAACCUCACCGGAAAACGCAGCAAGGACAAGAAGACCGCAAAUGACAAGCCCAAGGUACCGGUAGAGCCGGAGAAGGAUGAUGUCACCAAGGUGACGCUCUCAGGCCUGCUUAACUUCAUCGACGGGCUGUGGUCUGCUUGCGGAGGUGAGCGAAUCAUCAUCUUCACGACGAACCAAAAGGAGAAAAUGGACCCGGCACUGAUCCGAGAGGGCAGGAUGGACAAGCAAAUCGAGAUGUCCUAUUGCCUCUUCGAGGGCUUCAAGGUGCUUGCCAAGAACUACCUGGAUGUCGUGGAGCAUGGUCUGUUUGGGGAGAUUCAACGGCUGCUCGAGGAGACCGACAUGUUGCCCACCGAUGUGGCAGACAACCUGAUGCCAAUGUCGACGAAGAAGAAGAGGGACCCUAAUUAGUGUUCAUCAGGCCUCAUUGAGGCGCUCAAGCAGGCCAAGGAAGACGCGGCAGCAGCAAAGGCGAAGGUGAAUGAGGAAGAUGAGGCAGAAGUGGAGAAAGCUGAGGAGAAAGAGGAGCAAAGGAGAAGAAAGAAAAGGAGAAAGACAACGGGAAGGGCGUAA
Molecule: ribosomal RNA, 1044 nt
Filed under: Triticum aestivum (bread wheat)
Lineage: Eukaryota; Viridiplantae; Streptophyta; Magnoliopsida; Poales; Poaceae
Description: partial small subunit ribosomal RNA
Source: RNAcentral